This 478-nucleotide ribosomal RNA is filed under the name uncultured bacterium. RNAcentral's name for it is "partial 16S ribosomal RNA". It matches the Rfam family "Bacterial small subunit ribosomal RNA", at positions 28 to 523 of the family's 1533-position model. The record is from RNAcentral.
GACGAACGCUGGCGGCGUGCUUAACACAUGCAAGUCGAGCGAUGAAGCUCCUUCGGGAGUGGAUUAGCGGCGGACGGGUGAGUAACACGUGGGUAACCUGCCUCAUAGAGGGGAAUAGCCUUCCGAAAGGAAGAUUAAUACCGCAUAAGAUUGUAGUACCGCAUGGUACAGCAAUUAAAGGAGCAAUCCGCUAUGAGAUGGACCCGCGUCGCAUUAGCUAGUUGGUGAGGUAACGGCUCACCAAGGCGACGAUGCGUAGCCGACCUGAGAGGGUGAUCGGCCACAUUGGGACUGAGACACGGCCCAGGCUCCUACGGGAGGCAGCAGUGGGGAAUAUUGCACAAUGGGGUAAACCCUGAUGCAGCAACGCCGCGUGAGUGAUGACGGUCUUCGGAUUGUAAAGCUCUGUCUUCAGGGACGAUAAUGACGGUACCUGAGGAGGAAGCCACGGCUAACUACGUGCCAGCCGCCGCCGUAA